GUGGGGAAUUUUGGACAAUGGGGGCAACCCUGAUCCAGCCAUUCCGCGUGAGUGAAGAAGGCCUUCGGGUUGUAAAGCUCUUUUGUCCGGAGCGAAACGGGUAGUCCUAAUACGGCUGCCUACUGACGGUACCGGAAGAAUAAGCACCGGCUAACUACGUGCCAGCAGCCGCGGUAAUACGUAGGGUGCGAGCGUUAAUCGGAAUUACUGGGCGUAAAGCGUGCGCAGGCGGUUUUGUAAGCCAGAUGUGAAAUCCCCGGGCUCAACCUGGGAAUGGCAUUUGGGACUGCAAGGCUGGAGUGUGGCAGAGGGGACUAGAAUUCCUGGUGUAGCAGUGAAAUGCGUAGAUAUCAGGAGGAAUACCGAUGGCGAAGGCAGGUCCCUGGGCUAACACUGACGCUCAUGCACGAAAGCGUGGGGAGCAAACAGGAUUAGAUACCCGAGUAGUCC
RNAcentral lists this ribosomal RNA (450 nucleotides) under uncultured bacterium. RNAcentral describes it as "bacterial SSU rRNA". It matches the Rfam family "Bacterial small subunit ribosomal RNA", at positions 354 to 796 of the family's 1533-position model. The record is from RNAcentral.